GACGAACGCUGGCGGCGUGCUUAACACAUGCAAGUCGAACGGAAAGGCCCUGCUUUUUUUGGGUGCUCGAGUGGCGAACGUGUGUGUAACACGUGAGUAACCUGCCCUUUACUUUGUGAUAUCUUCAGGAAACUGGGUCUAAUACCUGAUAGGUGCUCCUGCUGCAUGGUGGGUGUUGGAACGUUUCGGCGGUUGGGGAUCGACUCGCGGGUUAUCAGCUUGUUGGUGGGGUAGUGGCUUACCAAGGGUUUGACGGGUAGCCGGACUGUGAGGGUGACCGGCGAAAAGGGGACUGAGAUAGGGCACAGAGUGGUACGGGAGGCAGCAGUGGGGAAUAUUGAAGAAUGGGAGGAAGCGUGAUGAAGAAAAGCGGGGAGCGGGAAGAAGGCAUACGGGGUGUAAAAGGAAGUAGGAUGAGACGAAGAGUGAGUGACGGUAAUGGGUAAAGAAGCACCGGCUAACUACGUG
Molecule: ribosomal RNA, 468 nt
Filed under: uncultured bacterium
Lineage: Bacteria
Description: partial 16S ribosomal RNA
Rfam family: Bacterial small subunit ribosomal RNA
Source: RNAcentral